ACAGCAGCAGCCGCGGUAAUACGUAGGUGGCAAGCGUUGUCCGGAAUUAUUGGGCGUAAAGGGCUCGCAGGCGGUUUCUUAAGUCUGAUGUGAAAGCCCCCGGCUCGACCGGGGAGGGUCAUUGGAAACUGGGAAACUUGAGUGCAGAAGAGGAGAGUGGAAUUCCACGUGCAGCGGUGAAAUGCGUAGAGAUGUGGAGGAACACCAGUGGCGAAGGCGACUCUCUGGUCUGUAACUGACGCUGAGGAGCGAAAGCGUGGGGAGCGAACAGGAUUAGAGACCCCGGUAGUCCCUGUCUCUUAUAA
Molecule: ribosomal RNA, 305 nt
Filed under: uncultured bacterium
Lineage: Bacteria
Description: partial 16S ribosomal RNA
Rfam family: Bacterial small subunit ribosomal RNA
Source: RNAcentral